Molecule: ribosomal RNA, 253 nt
Filed under: uncultured bacterium
Lineage: Bacteria
Description: partial 16S ribosomal RNA
Rfam family: Bacterial small subunit ribosomal RNA
Source: RNAcentral
UACGGAGGGUGCAAGCGUUAUCCGGAUUCACUGGGUUUAAAGGGAGCGUAGGUGGGCUGGUAAGUCAGUGGUGAAAUCCCCGAGCUUAACUUGGGAACUGCCAUUGAUACUAUCAGUCUUGAAUACUGUGGAGGCUAGCGGAAUAUGUCAUGUAGCGGUGAAAUGCUUAGAUAUGACAUAGAACACCAAUUGCGAAGGCAGCUUGCUACACGAGUAUUGACACUGAGGCACGAAAGCGUGGGGAUCAAACAGG